RNAcentral lists this transfer RNA (61 nucleotides) under Bothriocroton undatum (goanna tick). RNAcentral's name for it is "tRNA-Asp". Lineage: Eukaryota; Metazoa; Arthropoda; Arachnida; Ixodida; Ixodidae. The record is from RNAcentral.
GGAAAACUAGUUAAAUAAUAACAAAAGAAUGUCAGUCUUCAAUUACCUAAAGUGUUUUCUU